AAGCUGUGAAAAUACUUUGUUUCUUUUAUAAAGUAAAGAUGAGAUGCCUGAAGGAAGGAGUACUCAGUUGUUACUAUUUGUGUGUGUAUUAUUGAAUCACGUUCCUGGAUUUGUGACAAACUUGUUUCAGUAAGGCUGUGAAGCUCAGAAAUGAUCGUUUUAGGAACUGAAGGUACAGCUUCUCUACAGCGGUCUUUUCUUAUUUUAUUUUUUUAAAUUUAUUUUAAGUAGGCUCCAUGCCCAAUGUGGGGCUCAAACUGAUGACCCCCAGAUCUAGAGUUGCACAUUCUACCGACUGAGCCAGCGAGGCGCCUCUAGAGCAGUCUUUUCUCCAAGGGUGGCCUGUGGGUCUCGGCCAUGGAAUUCUGGGAGGCAAGGGCCUCUUAAAGAAGCAGGAUCGUGUUCCAGACCUGCUUUUGAACAGAGAGCUGAGAAAACAGAAGUCCUCAGUGAAGAUCUGUUACAGAAUUGUUCGCCGUGAAACUAACUCUUGCCAAUCCGCACCUGCUCGCUUCAGCUUGAAGCAGUCUGCUGUACGCUUCCAUCACGUCGACGGCUGAUGCUGUUUCCCACCCAUUCGACAGGAGCCGUUCUUUCUAGAAUGUGCAUCGGAGAGAAAAGGCAAGGUACGAGGCACUGUUGCACACAUCCAAGGCACUCUUGGAGCACAUGAGAACUUUAUUUGAAGACCCAUCUCAGAUGACUCCUUUUUCAAAAUCCUUUU
Molecule: long non-coding RNA, 724 nt
Organism: Leopardus geoffroyi (Geoffroy's cat)
Lineage: Eukaryota; Metazoa; Chordata; Mammalia; Carnivora; Felidae
Exons: 6
Source: RefSeq, a predicted model, not a curated record